Molecule: ribosomal RNA, 430 nt
Filed under: Bacillota bacterium
Lineage: Bacteria; Bacillati; Bacillota
Description: Firmicutes bacterium partial 16S ribosomal RNA
Rfam family: Bacterial small subunit ribosomal RNA
Source: RNAcentral
UGGGGAAUAUUGGACAAUGGGCGCAAGCCUGAUCCAGCCAUGCCGCGUGUGUGAAGAAGGCCUUUUGGUUGUAAAGCACUUUAAGCGAGGAGGAGGCUACUUGGAUUAAUACUCUAGGAUAGUGGACGUUACUCGCAGAAUAAGCACCGGCUAACUCUGUGCCAGCAGCCGCGGUAAUACAGAGGGUGCGAGCGUUAAUCGGAUUUACUGGGCGUAAAGCGUGCGUAGGCGGCUUUUUAAGUCGGAUGUGAAAUCCCUGAGCUUAACUUAGGAAAUGCAUUCGAUACUGGGAAGCUAGAGUAUGGGAGAGGAUGGUAGAAUUCCAGGUGUAGCGGUGAAAUGCGUAGAGAUCUGGAGGAAUACCGAUGGCGAAGGCAGCCAUCUGGCCUAAUACUGACGCAGAGGUACGAAAGCAUGGGGAGCAAACAGG